GUGAAAAGCACCCCGACGAGGGGAGUGAAACAGUACCUGAAACCGAACGCCUACAAUCAGUUGGAGGGCCCUUGCGGCCUGACAGCGUACCUUUUGUAUAAUGGGUCAUCGACUUGGUCUCACGAGCAAGCUUAAGCCGUUAGGUGUAGGCGCAGCGAAAGCGAGUCUUAAUAGGGCGAAUGAGUUCGUGGGAUCAGACCCGAAACCGAG
RNAcentral lists this ribosomal RNA (210 nucleotides) under Alexandrium margalefii. RNAcentral's name for it is "partial Bacterial large subunit ribosomal RNA". It matches the Rfam family "Bacterial large subunit ribosomal RNA", at positions 514 to 725 of the family's 2925-position model. The record is from RNAcentral. Lineage: Eukaryota; Dinophyceae; Gonyaulacales; Pyrocystaceae.